CUUAUUAAUAAAUUAUUAAUAGAUUUGUUCUUUAAAUUUAAAGGAUUUGGCGGUAAUUUAUCUAUUCAGAGGAACCUGCCCUUUAAUUGAUAAACCACAAGUAAUUUUACUUUUAUUUUUGCUUAUAUACCUCUAUCAUUGAAUAUCUUUAGAAAGAAUGAUUUUCUAAUAGAUUUUUUAAUCUUAAUGUUAGGUCAAGGUUUAGUAAUAUAAAAGUCUGUGGUGGGUUACAAUUUUUAUAUAAGAGGAUAUGUUUAAUGGAUAUAACUUUGAAUUUGGAUUUGAUAGUAAAAGUUUUUUGGUUAAAACUUUGAUUUUGUAAUAAAUUAAGCACACAUCGCCCGUCGCUCUUA
RNAcentral lists this ribosomal RNA (353 nucleotides) under Nesidiocoris tenuis. RNAcentral describes it as "partial 12S ribosomal RNA". Lineage: Eukaryota; Metazoa; Arthropoda; Insecta; Hemiptera; Miridae. The record is from RNAcentral.